Molecule: ribosomal RNA, 253 nt
Filed under: uncultured bacterium
Lineage: Bacteria
Description: partial 16S ribosomal RNA
Rfam family: Bacterial small subunit ribosomal RNA
Source: RNAcentral
UACGGAGGGUGCAAGCGUUAUCCGGAUUUACUGGGUUUAAAGGGUGCGUAGGUGGGUUGGUAAGUCAGUGGUGAAAUCCCCGAGCUUAACUUGGGAACUGCCAUUGAUACUAUCAGUCUUGAAUACCGUGGAGGUCAGCGGAAUAUGUCAUGUAGCGGUGAAAUGCUUAGAUAUGACAUAGAACACCAAUUGCGAAGGCAGCUGGCUACACGAUUAUUGACACUGAGGCACGAAAGCGUGGGGAUCAAACAGG